GUGCCCACUUUGGUAGCACAUGUACUGAAAUUGGAACGAUACAGAGAUUAGCAUGGUUCCUGAGCAAGGAUGACAUGCAAAUUCAUGAAGCGUUCCAUUAUUUU
RNAcentral lists this small nuclear RNA (104 nucleotides) under Procavia capensis (Cape rock hyrax). Lineage: Eukaryota; Metazoa; Chordata; Mammalia; Hyracoidea; Procaviidae. The record is from RNAcentral.